Molecule: ribosomal RNA, 407 nt
Filed under: uncultured bacterium
Lineage: Bacteria
Description: partial 16S ribosomal RNA
Rfam family: Bacterial small subunit ribosomal RNA
Source: RNAcentral
GACGAACGCUGGCGGCGUGCCUAAUACAUGCAAGUAGGCCGCAGUUGCGAACGGGUGAGUAACGCGUAGGUAACUACCUAUUAGAGGGGGCUAACUAUUGGAAACGAUAGCUAAUACCGCAUACUAGUAGCUGGACCUGCGUUGUAUUAGCUAGUAGGUAGGGUAAUGGGCUACCUAGGCAACGGUGCAUAGCCGACCGGGGAGGGUGGUCGGCCACACUGGGACUGGGACACGGGCCAGGCUCCUGCGGGAGGCAGCAGGAGGGAAUCUUCGGCAAUGGGGGGAACGCUGGCCGAGCAACGGCGCGUGAGGGAAGGAGGUUUUCGGAUCGUAAAGCGCUGUUGUUAAGGAAGCGGUACUUAACCAGAAAGGGACGGCUAACUACGUGCCAGCAGCCGCGGUAAUUC